Molecule: ribosomal RNA, 460 nt
Filed under: uncultured bacterium
Lineage: Bacteria
Description: partial 16S ribosomal RNA
Rfam family: Bacterial small subunit ribosomal RNA
Source: RNAcentral
CCUACGGGUGGCAGCAGUGAGGAAUAUUGGUCAAUGGGCGGGAGCCUGAACCAGCCAAGUCGCGUGAGGGAAGACGGUCCUAUGGAUUGUAAACCUCUUUAGGCGGGGAGCAAUGCCGGGCACGCGUGCCCGGAGGGAGAGUACCCGCAGAAUAAGCAUCGGCUAACUCCGUGCCAGCAGCCGCGGUAAUACGGAGGAUGCGAGCGUUAUCCGGAUUUAUGGGGUUUAAAGGGUGCGCAGGCGGAAGCGCAAGUCAGCGGUAAAAUUGAGAGGCUCAAACUCUUCCCGCCGUUGAAACUGCGUUUCUUGAGUGGGCGAGAAGUACGCGGAAUGCGUGGUGUAGCGGUGAAAUGCAUAGAUAUCACGCAGAACUCCGAUUGCGAAGGCAGCGUACCGGCGCCCAACUGACGCUCAUGCACGAAAGCGUGGGUAUCGAACAGGAUUAGAUACCCGUGUAGUC